RNAcentral lists this ribosomal RNA (467 nucleotides) under uncultured bacterium. RNAcentral's name for it is "partial 16S ribosomal RNA". It matches the Rfam family "Bacterial small subunit ribosomal RNA", at positions 28 to 506 of the family's 1533-position model. The record is from RNAcentral.
GACGAACGCUGGCGGCGUGCUUAACACAUGCAAGUCGAACGGAAAGGCCCUGCUUUUGUGGGGUGCUCGAGUGGCGAACGGGUGAGUAACACGUGAGUAACCUGCCCUUGACUUUGGGAUAACUUCAGGAAACUGGGGCUAAUACCGGAUAGGAGCUCCUGCUGCAUGGUGGGGGUUGGAAAGUUUCGGCGGUUGGGGAUGGACUCGCGGCUUAUCAGCUUGUUGGUGGGGUAGUGGCUUACCAAGGCUUUGACGGGUAGCCGGCCUGAGAGGGUGACCGGCCACAUGGGGACUGAGAUACGGCCCAGACUCCUACGGGGGGCAGCAGUGGGGAAUAUUGCACAAGGGGCGGAGGCCUGAGGCAGCAACGCCGCGUGCGGGAUGACGGCCUUCGGGUUGUAAACCGCUUUCGCCUGUGACGAAGCGUGAGUGACGGUAAUGGGAAAAGAAGCACCGGCUAACUACGU